AUAGUUUCUCCACCUUUUGGCUAAGAUCAAGUGUAAUAUCUAAUACAUCCUUCAUCCAAGGACAAUAUAUUAAAUGGGUUUUUAGAUUUAGGAGAUGGAAUAGUGGCUUGCUCCAUCUGCUCCACAUGUUGACUUGAUAUCGCAGUACUUCCAGGAAUGUGCACCACCA
RNAcentral lists this small nuclear RNA (169 nucleotides) under Castor canadensis (American beaver). Its description in RNAcentral is "U2 spliceosomal RNA (ENSCCNG00000003460.1)". It matches the Rfam family "U2 spliceosomal RNA". From Rfam's summary of the family: U2 is a small nuclear RNA (snRNA) component of the spliceosome (involved in pre-mRNA splicing). The record is from Rfam by way of RNAcentral. Lineage: Eukaryota; Metazoa; Chordata; Mammalia; Rodentia; Castoridae.